RNAcentral lists this ribosomal RNA (266 nucleotides) under uncultured bacterium. RNAcentral's name for it is "partial 16S ribosomal RNA". It matches the Rfam family "Bacterial small subunit ribosomal RNA", at positions 89 to 354 of the family's 1533-position model. The record is from RNAcentral.
UGGCGACCGGCGCACGGGUGAGUAACACGUAUGCAACCUGCCCCUGUCAGGGGGACAACCCGCCGAAAGGCGGGCUAAACCCGCGUACAUGCCACCGGGGCAUCCCGGAGGCAGGAAAGGCUUCGGCCGGACAGGGAUGGGCAUGCGGCGCAUUAGGCAGUAGGCGGGGUAACGGCCCACCUAACCGACGAUGCGUAGGGGUUCUGAGAGGAAGGUCCCCCACACUGGUACUGAGACACGGACCAGACUCCUACGGGAGGCAGCAG